This 377-nucleotide ribosomal RNA is filed under the name uncultured microorganism. RNAcentral's name for it is "bacterial SSU rRNA". It matches the Rfam family "Archaeal small subunit ribosomal RNA", at positions 330 to 713 of the family's 1478-position model. The record is from RNAcentral.
GCGCACCAGUCGCGAAACUUUACAAUGUGCGAAAGCACGAUAAGGGAACUCUGAGUGCCUCCUAAGGAGGCUGUUCAGGUGUCUAAAAGCACCUGGAGUAAGGGCUGGGUAAGACCGGUGCCAGCCGCCGCGGUAACACCGGCAGCCCAGGUGGUAGCCACUUUUAUUGGGUCUAAAGCGUCCGUAGCCGGUUGAGUAAGUUCCUUGGGAAAUUUGGCUGCUCAACAGUCAAGCUUCCAGGGAAUACUGCUCGACUUGGGGACUGGGGAGAGGUCAGAGGUACUCCAGGGGUAGGGUGAAAUCCAUUAAUCCCUGGGGGACCACCGGUAGCGAAGGCGUCUGACCAGACCAGGUCCGACGGUGAGGGACGAAGGCUA